This is a long non-coding RNA of Ochotona curzoniae (black-lipped pika), 4606 nucleotides long. RefSeq lists it as uncharacterized. The record is from RefSeq and is a predicted model, not a curated record. The transcript has 3 exons. Lineage: Eukaryota; Metazoa; Chordata; Mammalia; Lagomorpha; Ochotonidae.
AAGUUUCCUUUAAGUCGAAUCUGUUCUUAUCACCAUUAUUUUUCAUCAUUAUGAUAUUGGUAAGUCAUUAGUCUGAAACAAUGUUAAUGUCUUGUAAUGUAAGUGUGUCAACUAAGUGAACUAAGUAUAGUUUUUAGGUGCCCUCCAAAUAUUAUAAGGUAGAAGAAUCAAAAAAUCCAUUAUUAUAACUUACAAAUCUCUUUUCUAUUUUAUUUCCUACUUCUAAGACUAAAAUUACACUUGAAAGCAUUGAUAUUUUGUGUAUGACUACCAUGUAAAACCGUUUUAACUUUUCUGAUUGAUGUGGAUUUCUAAUCAUCAAAAGCUGAUUAUCCCCAAAUUUGGCUUAGUAGUAGGACAUGCAUUUAUUUCCAAAUAGUUUCAGGAAUCUUGGCAGAUCUCAACUGUGUCCUUUAUUUAAUGUUUCCUCACAAGGCUGAAAAUGCAGUAUCACCAGGGUUGUGGCCUCAUCUGAUGGCUUGAUAGUGGAAAGAUUUGCUUAUAAAUUCACCUGUGAGUCCCAUCAAUAACCACACUUCCUCCUGUGCUUUUGUACUGAUGGCCACCAUUCUUUUUGACCAUUCUUUACCCUCAUUUCCUUACAUGUAGGCCUCAGAAUAGGGCAGCAUACAAAUGUCUGUUUACUUCAUCAAAUAAUACAAUCGAAGAAAGAUUAGAAGAUAGUAGCAAUAAAAAAGUGACAAUGUUUAGAAUUCUAUGUUCAUCAUAACAAACAAACAAGCAAACAAACAAAAGAAACAAGUUGAGCCCUCAUAUACAUAUGGGAUGGGAGAUCACUCAAAGACACAGAUAGCUAAUGGCAGAAACCAUUAGGGAAUUGUUCAGAAGUUACCUAUCACAUGGAUAUGUAUAGUUUGUUUCUUACUUAUUGCAACUGUUUUUAUAUGUCUGUAUAACUUCAGAAUAGUCUUAGUUGGUGUUUCUGCUUUUGAUUCUGUUCUGUUGUGACCAUGACACAAUAUGGAACAUUUCACUAGCUGUCCAUUUUCUUCAGGAGGACAUGGAAAUUCCUUCUCUUAUAUGUCAAGGUCAUUUAACUUUUUACUUUCCCUAAAUUAGAGUGAGCUCCUUUGCUGUUGCAUUUGAGAUUUACAAGUUUCUACAGCUUUCCUCUGAACUCACUUCCCCCAGUUUUUCUUUUGGCCUCUCCUUAUGGUUGUCAUUUCCAUAAGAAUUCACCCAUUUCAGUAUAUUCUCAUUUUUACUCACCUGUGUUUCACCUUAGACACUGACUUUUUUGCAAUUAAGAAGAAUUUCUAUUUUGUUUAGUUUUCCUAUCAUGUACCACAUCAUCUAAUAAAUACAGGCAUGUGUGAUGAUUCACAACAGAUUUAUAGCUGUGUAUAUUUGUUUUCAUGAUAACAAUAUAAAUAACAUGAACUAUGAGUAGUAGCCACAUAAUAGAAACUGAAAUUCUGUUAGUUUCUAGCAAUUAAUUUAGUCACUCAUACUCUCAUGCAUACACUUACACACACACACAUAUACAGAGAGACAGAGAGAGUGAAAAAUACGUGUACAAGGUAGUUGGUGAAGUUGCCCUAUAACCCAUGCAUUAAGAAGCAUCAUUCUAGCCAUUUUGCAGAUUAACAAAAUGACCUGGGAAAAAAUCAAGCUGAUUUCAUAGCCUCAAUGCUUCACUACUCUGCUAGGCUAAGUAAAUGCACAAUAACAUGAAUGUAGGAGAUAGCAACACACACUUGGUUCUACAGCUUUUACUAUUAAACAUUGAUUGCUUUGCUAUCUUUCUUUAUGUUGUAUCUGUGCCCAAUUAAAGACCUACUAACAGAAAGCUCUGUUGAAGACCUUUUUUCUCCCUCACAGAAAGGCUAUUUAUGUGAAUGCUUGCUCUUUAAAGUAGAUUAUGCUUGCUUACCCAGUUGUACAGAGCUUAGGUAUAGUACUAAUGCAUUUCUAUUAGUUGGAUUCAAUAAAAUGUAAAGCUAGCUGAAUGAGUCAGUUUGCCUACAGAAUGGUUUGCAGUAUGUUGAAACAUGCCUCGUGUUAUAAAACUAACAUAGAUUGGGUGGCAGUAUGCUGAAGUUGCUAGGCACACUGGCUUAAGUUUCUUAUGCUUGUACUGUCUACCUUUGGUUUACGCAUGCACAAACGUUAAACUUGUCCAAAGUUCCCCUGCCUUCCAAGCACUGUUUCCUUAUGUAUGUUGUCAUCUGUAGGUACUAACUUAAGGAUCAUAAUUUUUUUAAAAUUGAUUUUGCAAGAACCUAGGAAAAAUACGUAAGGCAUUCAAAUUGCAAAUAUAAUUAUUUUGAAAUAUCAGUAGUUCUUUCAUUAGAAUGGUUUAUUGGGAGUUGACUGCGUCUGGCUUCAUGUGAUAAGAACAGACUGAUAACAUGCUCCUGGCAAUGUGUAAUGAUAAUGUGUUGUUGCCUAGCAUGUAAUUGCUUUUACUAGAAGGCAACAAAAGUGACUACUCUGUGACAUGUGAUGCUAUUAAGAUAUUUGUAAUUUUCUUUCAAGAGAGAGGCUGGCAUGAUUAGGUACUCUUUCUUACAUUAACAGCAAUACUAAAGAUGCUAUCAUCACCUUCAUCAAUUAAACCUACUCUUUGCUCUUGUGGUAUCAGAUCACAUCCUUGGUAAUUAUUGGUAUUUUGAUUCUAUUUCACAUACUUUUGUUUCUUUAGUGCUAAUAAUUAAAGAAUUUAAUAUGUGAUUGCAUUAUCAAAUGCUAAGUUUAUGUGUACAAUGGAUCAUAAUAUGGUCCUAAGGUCUUUGUAAUAUAGUUCAUAAGACAUUCAAAGUAUUAAUAAUGGUAUGUCACAAUCCAUUUCAUGACAUAAUUAUAAAAAUUCAAAAGAUUAUAUGAUUUUUUAAGUGUGAGACAGGAGUUUGGAAUACAAAUUUAUUUUUGAGUAUUUCAUGUGAAGAUAAAAUUUAGCUAAGGGACUCCUUAAAAUUUUUUUUAAUCUUUUGCAAAAAGACUUCCAAUCAGUCAUAUUAUUUUAUAACUAUUAUUUGAAAGGCAAAGUCAUGGUAGGGGUGCACAGAGGAGAGAGAUAUUUCAUUCGUUGGUUCACUCCCCAAAUGGCUGCAGUGACCAGAGCUGUGUGAGCUGAAAGUCUGGAGCCAGAAUUUUUAGCUGAGUCUCCCAGAUAGGUGCCAAACACUUGGACCUUCCUAUGCUGCUUUCCCAGCUACAUUAGCAUGGACUUGGAUUGCAAGCAGAGUGGCCAGGACAUAAACUGGUGCCUAGAUGGAAUGCCAGGCAUUGUAGACAGUGGCUUAAUGCAUCAUAACGCUGGCCCCAUGAGCCAUAUUUUUGUUUCAGUGGACUUAUAUCUACCAUAGGAUAUAAUUGUAGAAUUAUAUAAUUGUAGAAUUUUCUUAUAAAUUAUUUUAUCUGUUAAAACUGGUGGUCAUCCUUGUUUAAUGACAGCAUUACAUACUGUAAUUAGUAGGGAACAAUGUUAUUUUGGUUUUUAGUAGUAUUCUUUAAGCUGACAUUUUUUCCCCAUUUUUGGCUACUACUUCCUAUGACCAUUGACACUCAUUAAUGACAAGGAGCUAUGGAUAAAAUUUGUAUCCAUAGCACAGAACAAAACUAACUGAACUAGUAUGUGUUGAAUUCAUUAGCUUUGUGUUUUGAUGUGGUCAUCAAAUAAAUUGAAACAGUUGACUAUGUGUAGAUACAUAUAAUGAUGAAGAUAACUAGAGUUACAUUCUGUUCCACACAGUCUUGUGGACUUAGUACUGCUUGUUUACUGUAGGGUUCUUAAUUUUUGUUUAGUAUUGAAGACCACUGAAAGUCUAUUUUAAAUUUAGUACAUUCACAGAUGAAAGUAUGACAAUAUAUAAUUUUUCUCAUUAUUGAAAUCAUAUUUUAAAUUUUGGACCUUCCGAGACAAACCUAUAACAAUAUAUAAUUGAUCAUAUUUUUUAAGCCAAGAUGAGCCAACAGUUCAUUUGUUCUUUUCAGGGACAUAACUGAGUGUUCUUAAACUGAAGUAUAUUAAGAGGUGGUGACUUACCCACAGUUUUUAAUUUUUUUAGUAUUAUAAUAUUAUGUUAACAUUUUUACUGUUUUACUGAUAGUGUAUAUAAUCUCAUGCCCUUAGAGACCUUGAAGUUAUCAGUUAGUAUUAUCAAUGAUUUCAGAUUUAAUUAUGUCUUUGGAAACAACAUUAUCAAUUUUCUUAUACACAUUAUAUUUAUACUUCAAUGUUUUCUGUAUUACAUCAUAUUUACUUGAGAGUUAUUAUUAAUAGAUUAGCUUAAUUAGAAUAGGACCUAAUUUGAAGCUAAGAAAAUCAAAGUUUUAUGAAUAUACUCUUUUAUGAAUUUUGUAAAUGAUCAUAAAUGAGUAAUAUAUUUUAAAAUAAUUCAGUUAUAUGAGAUAUAUAGCUGAUUUCUGUUAUUUCCUGGAGAGGAACAGGUAUUUUGAACUUUAGAGGAAUGCAUUGAAGGCAAAGGCGGUUAAAUAUUUUUAUAACGGGUUUUGCUUUUAUUUUGCUUUCUUUAUUUACCUUAACCCAUUUGUGUUCUUCUAGAGAAUAAAUAUGAAGCAAAUCAAAUGAUAAGGCCGGAUCUUUAGGAUUUUUUUUGUAAUCAUCUGUAAAUUUUUUAGC